GCUACAAUUCAAACCUUGACAUUCCCUUCUUCCUUUCAUUGUAUAUUCAAAUUUUAAUGAUGAACACCAUCUGAAAAUAAUAAUUUGUUUCAUGAAUGAUAUUCAUAUGGAAUCUUAGAUCUUUAGCUGCUUAAAAGAUUUUUCUCUCUUUCUCUAACACUUGUGUGCACAGAAAAGGUAAGCAGAGCUCGAUUUCAUUGCUCAUUUGCCUUUGAACUUUUUUU
This 224-nucleotide unclassified non-coding RNA is filed under the name Hevea brasiliensis (rubber tree). The record is from RNAcentral. Lineage: Eukaryota; Viridiplantae; Streptophyta; Magnoliopsida; Malpighiales; Euphorbiaceae.